AGAACGAACGCUGGCGGCAUGCCUAAUACAUGCAAGUCGAACGAACUCUUCGGAGUUAGUGGCGCACGGGUGCGUAACGCGUGGGAAUCUGCCCCUUGGUUCGGAAUAACAGUUGGAAACGACUGCUAAUACCGGAUGAUGACGAAAGUCCAAAGAUUUAUCGCCAAGGGAUGAGCCCGCGUAGGAUUAGCUAGUUGGUGAGGUAAAGGCUCACCAAGGCAACGAUCCUUAGCUGGUCUGAGAGGAUGAUCAGCCACACUGGGACUGAGACACGGCCCAGACUCCUACGGGAGGCAGCAGUAGGGAAUAGUGGACAGUGGGACAAAGCCUGAUCCAGCAAUCGCCGCGUGAGUGAUGAAGGUCGUUAGGUAGUAAAGCUUACUUUACCGAGAUGAUAAU
Molecule: ribosomal RNA, 399 nt
Filed under: uncultured soil bacterium
Lineage: Bacteria
Description: bacterial SSU rRNA
Rfam family: Bacterial small subunit ribosomal RNA
Source: RNAcentral